GACGAACGCUGGCGGCGUGCCUAACACAUGCAAGUCGAACGGAGUGAUGAUUUCGGUUAUCACUUAGUGGCGAACGGGUGAGUAACGCGUGAGAAACCUGCCUUUCAGUGGGGGACAACAGUUGGAAACGACUGCUAAUACCGCAUGACGCUUCUUGGGGGCAUCCCCGAGAAGUCAAAGCUUUAUGUGCUGAAAGAUGGCCUCGCGUCUGAUUAGCUAGUUGGUGGGGUAACGGCCCACCAAGGCGACGAUCGGUAGCCGACCUGAGAGGGUGAUCGGCCACAUUGGAACUGAGAAACGGUCCAG
RNAcentral lists this ribosomal RNA (306 nucleotides) under uncultured bacterium. RNAcentral's name for it is "bacterial SSU rRNA". It matches the Rfam family "Bacterial small subunit ribosomal RNA", at positions 28 to 334 of the family's 1533-position model. The record is from RNAcentral.